AGUGUUUUUGAUUUAGAGUUUAUGAUUUAUCCAAGGGUCUAGGAUUUACCCAAAGGGUUUAGGAUUUUAGAUUUAGGGUUUAGGGAUUAGGAUUUAGGGUUUAGUUUUUUCCUGACGACGUCAAAUUUUUUUUUUUUGUAACUAUUACUAUUUUUUAUCUUUUUAUUUUAAAAACAUAAUAUAACUUGACAAUAUUUUGUUUCCUUUUAUAAAAGAUAUCAAAUUUGAAAUAACAUAAUUUUAUUGGUUGGUGAACCUAGAGAUUCACCCUAGGGAGUGAACCCAAGAAUAAGUCCUAAAAAAUUGGAAGUCAAUUACAUCUAUAUUAUUAAAAAGUUAUGGGUCUAUGUUACUUGAUAUAUAUAUUCAAAUCAAAAUAAUAAUUUAAAAUUGAUUUAUAUCAAAAAUUCAUUCAAAAAUAAAUGUACAUUCAAAAAUAAACAUAUUUUUCAAUAACUAUUAUAAAAAUGUUUUCAAUAUAUAUAAGAAAAAUACAAUACAAAGCCCAAUUUCAAACACCAACUUAGAUUAUGAUUUUUAUAUUUCACAUUAAAUUUUAAAAUAUAAUUUAUUUGAUUAUUUAUAUGAUUG
Molecule: long non-coding RNA, 591 nt
Filed under: Brassica rapa (field mustard)
Lineage: Eukaryota; Viridiplantae; Streptophyta; Magnoliopsida; Brassicales; Brassicaceae
Description: long non-coding RNA (BRAP_LNC003448)
Source: RNAcentral